ACCAGGCGUAGCUCAAGUUGGUAGAGCACCGGGUUAGUAACUGGCGGGUCUGGAGUUCGAUCCCCAGAGUCGGCA
RNAcentral lists this transfer RNA (75 nucleotides) under Pleodorina starrii. RNAcentral describes it as "tRNA-Thr". The record is from RNAcentral. Lineage: Eukaryota; Viridiplantae; Chlorophyta; Chlorophyceae; Chlamydomonadales; Volvocaceae.